AGCUUGUCUCUCAUUCAAGGCUAUUCUUCGGCGGAUGAAGAAGCACCACCGGAGGAUUACCGUAUCUCCUCCUCCUCCGAUGAUGAUUAUGAAUACGAUGAUUCGUCCGCCUCCGCCGUGUCCCGCGGCCGUUUGCUUUCCUACAAAUCAGUAUUGGACCAAUCCGCUCCGUCCAAUGGAUCGUCCGGUCUUCCCUCUGCGCUCGACGUCUUCUCCGAAAUUUCAGGACCUCCACAGUUUCUUAACAAUUGCGUUGAAGAGCAACCCAGCGCAGGAGGCGUUGAGCACCAGCUAGGUAGGCACGGUCGCUGGAGGAAUCGAAAGGAGAAGAAAGACUUACCUGCUGGUGUUGUAGUGGAGGCCAAAGCUCAACUUAUUGGAAUUCAUGAGCGAGUAAGAAGUGAUAUUGAGUCUAACCAGCCUCCAACAUCAUCAGUUCUUAGCACAACACAGGAGGCAGGAAAACGAGUGCCAACUGUGACCAAUCCCAAUGCAGAAGAUGCUGCGGAACUACUGAGGAUGUGCUUGCAAUGUGGAAUACCUAAGACAUACUCCAGUGCACGUGGAAUGGUAUGUCCUGUGUGCGGUGAUCGGCCGUUCGACACAAACAAAGAGCCCAAGAAAAAGGGUUCAACGAUUAAAGAUAAGGAAAAAAGUAAGAGGAUUAAGGGCCAGUCAUCUCACGCUACAUGGAAAAGUGAGACAGAGAUGCAACUCAGACAACAGUUUGAUUAGCAUAAUUAAGAUUCCCGUGAUGUUAAGGAUCAUUAGGAAAAAUGUGUAAUCAAAAAUGGUUAAAGUAAUCAGCAAUCGAGAAGCAGGUCCAAGUACAUUUGAGAAUGCGCUAUCUGUAUCUGUCUAAGAAGUACGGCUGCUGUUGCACAGUUUGAAUUUGAUGCUUAGGAUCAGCUGUGGUUAGUUUGUUCUUUUUCUAUCUCCAUCUUAUUAGCUAAAUUGCCCAAAAAAAAGAACAAACUAACCACAGCUGAUCC
Molecule: unclassified non-coding RNA, 992 nt
Filed under: Hevea brasiliensis (rubber tree)
Lineage: Eukaryota; Viridiplantae; Streptophyta; Magnoliopsida; Malpighiales; Euphorbiaceae
Source: RNAcentral